CGCUUAGGAAUCUGCCUAUUAGUGGGGGACAACAUUCCGAAAGGAAUGCUAAUACCGCAUACGUCCUACGGGAGAAAGCAGGGGACCUUCGGGCCUUGCGCUAAUAGAUGAGCCUAAGUCGGAUUAGCUAGUUGGUGGGGUAAAGGCCUACCAAGGCGACGAUCUGUAGCGGGUCUGAGAGGAUGAUCCGCCACACUGGGACUGAGACACGGCCCAGACUCCUACGGGAGGCAGCAGUGGGGAAUAUUGGACAAUGGGGGGAACCCUGAUCCAGCCAUGCCGCGUGUGUGAAGAAGGCCUUAUGGUUGUAAAGCACUUUAAGCGAGGAGGAGGCUACUAGUAUUAAUACUACUGGAUAGUGGACGUUACUCGCAGAAUAAGCACCGGCUAACUCUGUGCCAGCAGCCGCGGUAAUACAGAGGGUGCGAGCGUUAAUCGGAUUUACUGGGCGUAAAGCGUGCGUAGGCGGCCAUUUAAGUCAAAUGUGAAAUCCCCGAGCUUAACUUGGGAAUUGCAUUCGAUACUGGAUGGCUAGAGUAUGGGAGAGGAUGGUAGAAUUCCAGGUGUAGCGGUGAAAUGCGUAGAGAUCUGGAGGAAUACCGAUGGCGAAAGCAGCCAUC
Molecule: ribosomal RNA, 620 nt
Filed under: Acinetobacter beijerinckii
Lineage: Bacteria; Pseudomonadati; Pseudomonadota; Gammaproteobacteria; Moraxellales; Moraxellaceae
Description: bacterial SSU rRNA
Rfam family: Bacterial small subunit ribosomal RNA
Source: RNAcentral